ACCUGGAUGGCUCAGUUGGUUGAGCAUCAGACUUGGGCUCAGAUGUUGAUCUCCCAGUUCAUGGGUUCAAGCCCCGUGUCGGGCG
Molecule: transfer RNA, 85 nt
Filed under: Felis catus (domestic cat)
Lineage: Eukaryota; Metazoa; Chordata; Mammalia; Carnivora; Felidae
Rfam family: tRNA
About the family: Transfer RNA (tRNA) molecules are approximately 80 nucleotides in length. Their secondary structure includes four short double-helical elements and three loops (D, anti-codon, and T loops).
Source: Rfam by way of RNAcentral